Molecule: long non-coding RNA, 722 nt
Filed under: Cyanistes caeruleus (blue tit)
Lineage: Eukaryota; Metazoa; Chordata; Aves; Passeriformes; Paridae
Description: lncRNA (ENSCCEG00000010399.1)
Source: RNAcentral
GCCCCGCCCUCAGCGCUCCGGCUGCGGGGCUGCGGGGCACGGCCGAGCGGCGCUUUGGUGCCCGGGCGCGUUCGGUCGGGUUAUCCCCGACUGCCGAACAACCAGCGCUCUCCGGCUUUCCGGGCGGAUCCGGCCGUUCUCCAGGGUUUUUCUAUCCAGCAGUGCUGCGGGAGCGCACACAGCCCCAGCGCUUUGGGACAGCUCCUGCUCAAAACGUUGCCAGAAGUGGUGUUAGAUGCCAAACACCGUAUUGACCCAUCUUCACUGACGAUUUACCAAAAUUUAAAUGGGCUCCUUUGGCAACAAAACCAAAAGAAGGAAGAAUCUCCUGUAAUGUUAAUUAAUCUUUAGCCUACUGGUGUCUGAUGAACACAUGGGAAAGAACAGCUGGUCUCAGUGCAAGAUACAUGGGCUUAGUGAUGAGGAAAAGGUGUCAGAGAAGAUGAAUUUCCAGGACUGGAAAAUAGGACAGCAAAGAAUGGAUUUGGAGCAUGAAAAGAUGGAGGAUUAUGGCCAGACAUUGGAGAGAGGUCUGUGCAAAGGAGCUACAGUAGGUGGUGGUCAGCCUACGCCUGUGAAAAUCUCAGAGGUAAAUUUGCAGAGAAGUAAAUUCUUAAAGUCAGCUCAGGAUGCAGACAGAAAAAAGCUGGAGAGACUGAUAAUUUUGCUACCUUAACAGACAUUCAAAUAAAAACUGUAAAAAGUGUAAACUAAUUUUGAAA